RNAcentral lists this small nuclear RNA (103 nucleotides) under Salvator merianae (Argentine black and white tegu). Lineage: Eukaryota; Metazoa; Chordata; Lepidosauria; Squamata; Teiidae. The record is from RNAcentral.
UCGCUUCAGUAGCGUAUAUAUUAAAAUUAGGACGAUAUAGAGAAGAUUAGCAUGGCCCAUGUGCAAGGAUGACACGUAAAUUUGUGAAGCAUUCCAUAUUUUA